This 433-nucleotide ribosomal RNA is filed under the name uncultured bacterium. RNAcentral's name for it is "partial 16S ribosomal RNA". It matches the Rfam family "Bacterial small subunit ribosomal RNA", at positions 29 to 507 of the family's 1533-position model. The record is from RNAcentral.
AACGAACGCUGGCGGCAUGCCUAACACAUGCAAGUCGAACGAGACCUUCGGGUCUAGUGGCGCACGGGUGCGUAACGCGUGGGAACCUGCCUUUAGGUUCGGAAUAACUCAGAGAAAUUUGAGCUAAUACCGGAUGAUGUCUUCGGACCAAAGAUUUAUCGCCUUUAGAUGGGCCCGCGUUGGAUUAGCUAGUUGGUGGGGUAAAGGCCUACCAAGGCGACGAUCCAUAGCUGGUCUGAGAGGAUGAUCAGCCACACUGGGACUGAGACACGGCCCAGACUCCUACGGGAGGCAGCAGUGGGGAAUAUUGGACAAUGGGCGAAAGCCUGAUCCAGCAAUGCCGCGUGAGUGAUGAAGGCCUUAGGGUUGUAAAGCUCUUUUACCCGAGAUGAUAAUGACAGUAUCGGGAAAAUAAGCUCCGGCUAACUCCGUG